RNAcentral lists this ribosomal RNA (465 nucleotides) under uncultured bacterium. Its description in RNAcentral is "partial 16S ribosomal RNA". It matches the Rfam family "Bacterial small subunit ribosomal RNA", at positions 31 to 507 of the family's 1533-position model. The record is from RNAcentral.
GAACGCUGGCGGCGUGCUUAACACAUGCAAGUCGAUCGGAAAGGCCCUGCUUUUGUGGGGUGCUCGAGUGGCGAACGGGUGAGUAACACGUGAGUAACCUGCCCUUGACUUUGGGAUAACUUCAGGAAACUGGGGCUAAUACCGGAUAGGAGCUCCUGCUGCAUGGUGGGGGUUGGAAAGUUUCGGCGGUUGGGGAUGGACUCGCGGCUUAUCAGCUUGUUGGUGGGGUAGUGGCUUACCAAGGCUUUGACGGGUAGCCGGCCUGAGAGGGUGACCGGCCACAUUGGGACUGAGAUACGGCCCAGACUCCUACGGGAGGCAGCAGUGGGGAAUAUUGCACAAUGGGCGGAAGCCUGAUGCAGCAACGCCGCGUGCGGGAUGACGGCCUUCGGGUUGUAAACCGCUUUCGCCUGUGACGAAGCGUGAGUGACGGUAAUGGGUAAAGAAGCACCGGCUAACUACGUG